Dermatophagoides farinae (American house dust mite) is the source of this 968-nucleotide non-coding RNA. The record is from RefSeq and is a predicted model, not a curated record. Lineage: Eukaryota; Metazoa; Arthropoda; Arachnida; Sarcoptiformes; Pyroglyphidae.
UUAUUCACCAUCUUCAAUAAUAACAACAACAACAACAACAACGAUAUUAUUUUAAAUCCAAUAAUUAAUUUGUUUCAGCCAAAUAUCCGUGUGAUAUGCAGCAAUAUUACAAAUAGUCGAAUCAUGACCAGGAAAUGAUUUAAAAUUUGAAAUCUCAGGAAUAGCCGUGAUAAAUUCAUUUCAACGAUCCGACUAUUCGAUUCUAAAAUCAAUUCAUCUUAAUAUAUAAUUUAAAUCAACUACAUUGAUCAUUGUCUCUAAAUGUUUACCAUAAGAAUCUCAAAUCAUCAUAAUUAUCCACAACAAUUUAAGCAAUUUAAUGUUAAUUAUAAUUAUCACCAUCAUAACAUUAUUAAUUAUAAGAAAUUAAUAAUUACUUCAUCAAUUCAAAAAACAAGAAAAACUAGACAUUUAAUGCAAACGAAUAAGUGUGAAAUUUAUCUAUUAUCGAUCCAUUCAAUUGGAUCGAAAUUAAACAUCACCUGAUAUCAUUCAUUUAAACCAUUAAUUCUUGUAGCCAUUCAUCAUCAUAUCCACCCACAUUGUUCAUGUUCGCUCAAUGAUCUCGUAAUAAUAUAGUCUGCUAUUGGUUAUAUAUAAUGAAAACAUCUAUUUUCUCAAGCAACAAAUAUUUAAUACAAUAAAUGAAAUUCAUAGCCGUGCCACCACUAUCAAUCUAGAUUUUGUUUAGUUACAAUCAGUUUGCCUACAACAAUAGAUCGAUUAAUCAAUCAAUCAAAAUUUUAAUAAUUAUUGUUUCACCUUUCUCUCUCUCUCUCUCUUUCUCACUCUCUUUAUUUAAAUUCUGAUCUGGUCGAAAUGAAAAAAGAAAAUUUCCAUACACCGGGGGAUGAUUGGACAUAAUCUUCAUAUUUCUAUUGUUAAUAGCGGCAUUGAUGAUUCAAAAAAAAAAUUGUGACAAUCAUCUUCAUCAUCAUCUGCAUCUUGGUUGUCAUUCAUUUGUCCUA